CCUACGGGUGGCAGCAGUGAGGAAUAUUGGUCAAUGGGCGAGAGCCUGAACCAGCCAAGUCGCGUGAAGGAGGAAGGUUCAGUGGUUUGUAAACCUCUUUUGUAUGGGAAUAAAGUGUGGCACGUGUUCCCUGUUGUGUGUACCUUAUGAAUAAGCAUCGGCUAACUCCGUGCCAGCAGCCGCGGUAAUACGGAGGAUGCGAGCGUUAUCCGGAUUUAUUGGGUUUAAAGGGUGCGUAGGUGGUUCGUUAAGUCAGCGGUUAAAGUUUGGGGCUCAACCCUGAAACUGCCGUUGAAACUGGUAGACUAGAGUAUAUUUGAGGUAGGCGGAAUGCGUGGUGUAGCGGUGAAAUGCAUAGAUAUCACGCAGAACUCCGAUUGCGAAGGCAGCUUAC
RNAcentral lists this ribosomal RNA (394 nucleotides) under uncultured bacterium. RNAcentral describes it as "partial 16S ribosomal RNA". It matches the Rfam family "Bacterial small subunit ribosomal RNA", at positions 338 to 729 of the family's 1533-position model. The record is from RNAcentral.